Long non-coding RNA from Chelonia mydas (Green sea turtle), 2395 nucleotides. RefSeq lists it as uncharacterized. The transcript has 3 exons. Lineage: Eukaryota; Metazoa; Chordata; Testudines; Cheloniidae. The record is from RefSeq and is a predicted model, not a curated record.
UCCGCGCCUUUUCUACAGCCCCUCUGACAUCAUGUCCUGGCCCGCCCCCAUUGGCUGCAAAGCUCCUGGCCCAGGCCGCGUGUGCUCGGGAUGGGGGCUCGGAGUGGAGACGGGAGAGGCAUGGCCAGGGUGGGGGGGGGGAGAGCUGGAGUUUUCAUGCUGUUGAGGUUUUGCUGCUAUUUUCCCACUUUUGCAAAAAAAGAAAAAUAAUGCUUCCCGUCCUCCUCAGACCCGUCCCUCUAGGUCACUAACAUCUGAGCACGUGGGGGCCCAGAUACCGGGCAGGGAUCCUAUUCUUUGCUGCAGAGCCAGUGCUGCCUUGCCCGGCGCACCCAGAAGAGAGAGUGCUUGGAGCAGAGAAACAGCAGCCACUCAAACUCAGGUCAGCAUCGUAGGUGACAGGUGAACAAAUCACAGGUCUUGAGUUUCUCUACCCUGCCUCUCUCUGGUAACGUCAUCUCCAGUACCAUCUGCUACCUACCAGCUAAACAGACCAACCACAUAAUGAGGUACCAGCUUCCACCCAGCUACCGUGACUAAAUCAGAACAAAAGAACUCAACGCCUCCUUCAACAAAGGGACACAAGUCUAAGCUGUCUUUGCUAAUUGCUGGGUUUCAGGUUGUCUGUUACAGAAUUUAAGUGAGCUGCAAACUUGCAUCCAUACUUAAUAGCUGUUGGAUAAAGAUAAUGCGAAUAAAAGAUAAAUGGAAACUGAAGGCAAUGAUGCUGUUCUCCUAAAAUGUGAGACAGUUUUCUUCUUGACAGCAAGUGGAGCCCAGCUCUGCAUCUCCCUCAGUCACUGGAGAAAGACUAACAUGCUUCAGAUUCAGUUGCUUUCCAGACGGACUUGAAAUGAUUCAAUGAAAUGAUUACUCCAUUCAUCUAUCACGUUUUAUACUUAUUGUGUAAUAAGUGAGACACUGUGGGUCAUUUUAAAGGAAAAGAGAACAGUGGUGUAAUCCUAUUAAAGACAUCAGACUAUUUAAAAAUAGGACAGAUAUUAACAUCACCCUAAACUGUAAAUGAAUGUAUUUGUAAAGGUGUUUUAACUUUCCAGAGUGAAGCACAUUUUAUGUUGCUGUUUCUUUGCUACACCAUCACUAUCCUUAUCCAGCUAGUGCAGCCUGGUGUAUGAGUCAUAGGAAAUUAUAUUUCUUGCUUAUUAAAGUGGUUUGUCUCAGGAAUAUUUCAGAGUGUAUAUUUUUUUCACUCAUAAAGAUGUUGAGAGAAUAACUGGCAACCUAUUUAAAUACCCUUUGCUUAAGAGAUGUCUAUUACAUUUGCUGGGGAUUUUUUAAAAUUUUAUUGCCUUUCUAAACUGUUAAUUAUGUAUCGAAAUGUAUUGCUGUCACCAGUCUAACAUGAACAAAGCAAUACAGUGAGCUGCCUGAGAUAUUUCAUCAUGGUAUUAAUUACAAGCAUAGUAAUAAAUGAAAAUUCUACAAACCUCUCCAAUUGCAUUUGUAUGUAACCCCAGUGGAUCAAUGUUUUAUAUUAGCACGUGGCAAAAAAUACCAUUCCAGGAACUCAGCAACUAAAUAUGAUCUAAACCCAGCAUCUUUUGGGCAGGGUAGCAUUUCUUGGAUCUAUAAUCUCACCAUUUGCUCCAAUCUGAGUGAGCUCCCUUGCUGUGUCUCAGCAAUACACCUAGUUUAAGACCAUGCAAGCAGCCCACUUUCCAGAAGAUGAUCAGCAAAGAAUGUGUUUUAUUCUGAUUUGGAAAACUGUCAAUCAUUGAUAAAUAAGAUCAGAUAACUAUUACUCUAUAAAAUUAGCUAAUUAUAUUUGCCUGAUUUGCAAGAAGAAUAAACAAUGUUUCUAAGGAAAAUAUUGAGGAUGAUUUACCCAGAUGUUAUAUAGAAAUUGCUUUGUAAUUGAUACAGGCAAUUGGCUUCAGAAAUAAAUACAACCAUGUAACUGUGUGUGUGUGUACACAUAUACACACACAUAUCUCAGACCUAAAUAAGAUAUACUUAGUGUUAGAUUUUUUAGUUUAUAGGACCGUAGGUAUUUGAACAAUUCUGAAAACGCCUUUAUAGGUGUCAGAGAGGGAGGGUUUCAGAGUAGCAGCUGUGUUAGUCUGUAUUCACAAAAAGAAAAGGAGUACUUGUGGCACCUUAGAGACUAACAAAUUUAUUUGAGCAUAAGUUUUCGUGAGCUACAGCUCACUUCAUCGGAUGCGUUCAGUGGAAAAUACAGAGAGGGAGGGGAAUCUUCAACCACAUGAUCUUCUCUCCAGAGUCCUGUUAAGUGUACUGAACUUAAAACAGAAACAAGAAGUGUGAAAUAUAGGUUUGAACAUGAUAUGUCAGAAAUGUAAAGGUUGUAAGCCUUUUUAGUAACCGAUAUUAAUAUUGUAUUAAAUGUGAUGAAAAGGUAGAUGUUAGGGAGAGG